Molecule: non-coding RNA, 85 nt
Organism: Asterophora parasitica
Lineage: Eukaryota; Fungi; Basidiomycota; Agaricomycetes; Agaricales; Lyophyllaceae
Source: the annotation of a GenBank genome assembly
ACACUGAUGGUGAAGUGGUUAUCAUGCUUGCCUUCCAUUCAACGCAUUGAAGCAAGCGGCAGGGGUUCGAUUCCCCUUCAGUGUA